RNAcentral lists this ribosomal RNA (2900 nucleotides) under Klebsiella pneumoniae. RNAcentral's name for it is "bacterial LSU rRNA". It matches the Rfam family "Bacterial large subunit ribosomal RNA". The record is from RNAcentral. Lineage: Bacteria; Pseudomonadati; Pseudomonadota; Gammaproteobacteria; Enterobacterales; Enterobacteriaceae.
UUAAGCGACUAAGCGUACACGGUGGAUGCCCUGGCAGUCAGAGGCGAUGAAGGACGUGCUAAUCUGCGAAAAGCGUCGGUAAGGUGAUAUGAACCGUUAUAACCGGCGAUGUCCGAAUGGGGAAACCCAGUGCAAUUCGUUGCACUAUCGUUAACUGAAUACAUAGGUUAACGAGGCGAACCGGGGGAACUGAAACAUCUAAGUACCCCGAGGAAAAGAAAUCAACCGAGAUUCCCCCAGUAGCGGCGAGCGAACGGGGAGCAGCCCAGAGUCUGAAUCAGCUUGUGUGUUAGUGGAACGGUCUGGAAAGUCCGACGGUACAGGGUGAUAGUCCCGUACACCAAAAUGCACAGGCUGUGAACUCGAAGAGUAGGGCGGGACACGUGGUAUCCUGUCUGAAUAUGGGGGGACCAUCCUCCAAGGCUAAAUACUCCUGACUGACCGAUAGUGAACCAGUACCGUGAGGGAAAGGCGAAAAGAACCCCGGCGAGGGGAGUGAAAAAGAACCUGAAACCGUGUACGUACAAGCAGUGGGAGCACCUUCGGGUGUGACUGCGUACCUUUUGUAUAAUGGGUCAGCGACUUAUAUUCUGUAGCAAGGUUAACCGUAUAGGGGAGCCGCAGGGAAACCGAGUCUUAACUGGGCGUUAAGUUGCAGGGUAUAGACCCGAAACCCGGUGAUCUAGCCAUGGGCAGGUUGAAGGUUGGGUAACACUAACUGGAGGACCGAACCGACUAAUGUUGAAAAAUUAGCGGAUGACUUGUGGCUGGGGGUGAAAGGCCAAUCAAACCGGGAGAUAGCUGGUUCUCCCCGAAAGCUAUUUAGGUAGCGCCUCGUGAACUCAUCUUCGGGGGUAGAGCACUGUUUCGGCUAGGGGGUCAUCCCGACUUACCAACCCGAUGCAAACUACGAAUACCGAAGAAUGUUAUCACGGGAGACACACGGCGGGUGCUAACGUCCGUCGUGAAGAGGGAAACAACCCAGACCGCCAGCUAAGGUCCCAAAGUCAUGGUUAAGUGGGAAACGAUGUGGGAAGGCACAGACAGCCAGGAUGUUGGCUUAGAAGCAGCCAUCAUUUAAAGAAAGCGUAAUAGCUCACUGGUCGAGUCGGCCUGCGCGGAAGAUGUAACGGGGCUAAACCAUGCACCGAAGCUGCGGCAGCGACACUAUGUGUUGUUGGGUAGGGGAGCGUUCUGUAAGCCUGCGAAGGUGACCUGUGAGGGUUGCUGGAGGUAUCAGAAGUGCGAAUGCUGACAUAAGUAACGAUAAAGCGGGUGAAAAGCCCGCUCGCCGGAAGACCAAGGGUUCCUGUCCAACGUUAAUCGGGGCAGGGUGAGUCGACCCCUAAGGCGAGGCCGAAAGGCGUAGUCGAUGGGAAACAGGUUAAUAUUCCUGUACUUGGUGUUACUGCGAAGGGGGGACGGAGAAGGCUAUGUUAGCCGGGCGACGGUUGUCCCGGUUUAAGCAUGUAGGCUGGUUAUCCAGGCAAAUCCGGAUAAUCAAGGCUGAGGUGUGAUGACGAGGCACUACGGUGCUGAAGUAACAAAUGCCCUGCUUCCAGGAAAAGCCUCUAAGCAUCAGGUAACAUUAAAUCGUACCCCAAACCGACACAGGUGGUCAGGUAGAGAAUACCAAGGCGCUUGAGAGAACUCGGGUGAAGGAACUAGGCAAAAUGGUGCCGUAACUUCGGGAGAAGGCACGCUGGUGUGUAGGUGAAGCCCCUGCGGGUGGAGCUGAGACCAGUCGAAGAUACCAGCUGGCUGCAACUGUUUAUUAAAAACACAGCACUGUGCAAACACGAAAGUGGACGUAUACGGUGUGACGCCUGCCCGGUGCCGGAAGGUUAAUUGAUGGGGUUAUCCGUAAGGAGAAGCUCUUGAUCGAAGCCCCGGUAAACGGCGGCCGUAACUAUAACGGUCCUAAGGUAGCGAAAUUCCUUGUCGGGUAAGUUCCGACCUGCACGAAUGGCGUAAUGAUGGCCAGGCUGUCUCCACCCGAGACUCAGUGAAAUUGAACUCGCUGUGAAGAUGCAGUGUACCCGCGGCAAGACGGAAAGACCCCGUGAACCUUUACUAUAGCUUGACACUGAACAUUGAGCCUUGAUGUGUAGGAUAGGUGGGAGGCUUUGAAGCGUGGACGCCAGUCUGCGUGGAGCCAACCUUGAAAUACCACCCUUUAAUGUUUGAUGUUCUAACGUUGGCCCCUGACCGGGGUUGCGGACAGUGUCUGGUGGGUAGUUUGACUGGGGCGGUCUCCUCCCAAAGCGUAACGGAGGAGCACGAAGGUUAGCUAAUCCUGGUCGGACAUCAGGAGGUUAGUGCAAUGGCAUAAGCUAGCUUGACUGCGAGCGUGACGGCGCGAGCAGGUGCGAAAGCAGGUCAUAGUGAUCCGGUGGUUCUGAAUGGAAGGGCCAUCGCUCAACGGAUAAAAGGUACUCCGGGGAUAACAGGCUGAUACCGCCCAAGAGUUCAUAUCGACGGCGGUGUUUGGCACCUCGAUGUCGGCUCAUCACAUCCUGGGGCUGAAGUAGGUCCCAAGGGUAUGGCUGUUCGCCAUUUAAAGUGGUACGCGAGCUGGGUUUAGAACGUCGUGAGACAGUUCGGUCCCUAUCUGCCGUGGGCGCUGGAGAAUUGAGGGGGGCUGCUCCUAGUACGAGAGGACCGGAGUGGACGCAUCACUGGUGUUCGGGUUGUCAUGCCAAUGGCACUGCCCGGUAGCUAAAUGCGGAAGAGAUAAGUGCUGAAAGCAUCUAAGCACGAAACUUGCCCCGAGAUGAGUUCUCCCUGAGACUUUAAGUCUCCUGAAGGAACGUUGAAGACGACGACGUUGAUAGGCCGGGUGUGUAAGCGCAGCGAUGCGUUGAGCUAACCGGUACUAAUGAACCGUGAGGCUUAACCUU